UACGGGGGGGGCAAGCGUUGUUCGGAAUUACUGGGCGCAAAGGGCUCGUAGGCGGCCAACUAAGUCGGAUGUGAAAUCCCCAGGCUUAACCUGGGAACUGCAUCCGAUACUGGAUGGCUUGAAUCCGGGAGAGGGAUGCAGAAUUCCAGGUGUAGCGGUGAAAUGCGUAGAUAUCUGGAGGAAUACCGGUGGCGAAGGCGGCAUCCUGGACCGGCAUUGACGCUGAGUGAGCGAAAGCCAGGGGAGCAAACGGG
This 254-nucleotide ribosomal RNA is filed under the name uncultured bacterium. RNAcentral's name for it is "partial 16S ribosomal RNA". It matches the Rfam family "Bacterial small subunit ribosomal RNA", at positions 524 to 776 of the family's 1533-position model. The record is from RNAcentral.